AUGAGUUUAGCCAGGGUUUGGGGCAUGUAUGAUGAUGAGUUAAAGCUAAGGAUCAGGGAAAGUGUAGUUCAAGCUGAAGAAAAUUUUAGGGUUGUGAAAGAGAGGGAAAAGAUGGAAAAUGAUCUGAGGUUUUUUAAACUAGAUUUUGCUAAGAUGGUGGCUGACAAGGAGCAGGUAAUUACUGAAUUGGGCAAUGCAAGACUUGCUCUUUCUGACAUAAAGGAAGAGCUUGAGAAGAAGAAGAUGUCUGAUAAGUCUACCACUACCAUUCAUCAGGUUGUGAGGGCUAAGGCAGAGAAAGAGAGGGAUGAGAUGAAGCAACAGAUGGACAGCAUGAAGGAAGAGUUGGACAAAGUGUUGUCACAGAGGGAUGAGCUGAAGAAGGAGAAGAAGAAACUAGAGUACAUGAUUGGUGAUCUAUUCAGGCACAAGGAGGAGACCAAGAGCAAGAUAAGGAGGGUGAAGGAGAUCUUAGAUGAAGUUGAGUAA
RNAcentral lists this ribosomal RNA (489 nucleotides) under Triticum aestivum (bread wheat). RNAcentral's name for it is "partial small subunit ribosomal RNA". Lineage: Eukaryota; Viridiplantae; Streptophyta; Magnoliopsida; Poales; Poaceae. The record is from RNAcentral.